AUACGUAGGGGGCGAGCGUUGUCCGGAAUGAUUGGGCGUAAAGGGCGCGUAGGCGGCCCGGUAAGUCUGGAGUGAAAGUCCUGUUUUUAAGAUGGGAAUUGCUUUGGAUACUGUCGGGCUUGAGUGCAGGAGAGGUAAGUGGAAUUCCCAGUGUAGCGGUGAAAUGCGUAGAGAUUGGGAGGAACACCAGUGGCGAAGGCGACUUACUGGACUGUAACUGACGCUGAGGCGCGAAAGUGUGGUGAGCAAACAGGAUUAGAUCCCCAGGUAGUCCACACUGUAAACGAUGAAUGCUAGGUGUAGGGGGUAUCGACCCCGUCUGUGCCGCAGUCAACACAAGAAGCAUUCCGCCUGGGGAGUACGGCCGCAAGGUUGAACCUUAAAGGAAUUGGCGGGG
Molecule: ribosomal RNA, 397 nt
Filed under: uncultured bacterium
Lineage: Bacteria
Description: partial 16S ribosomal RNA
Rfam family: Bacterial small subunit ribosomal RNA
Source: RNAcentral